RNAcentral lists this ribosomal RNA (527 nucleotides) under uncultured bacterium. RNAcentral describes it as "bacterial SSU rRNA". It matches the Rfam family "Bacterial small subunit ribosomal RNA", at positions 777 to 1302 of the family's 1533-position model. The record is from RNAcentral.
AAUAGAUACCCCGGUAGUCCACGCCGUAAACGAUGAGUGCUAAGUGUUAGAGGGUUUCCGCCCUUUAGUGCUGCAGCUAACGCAUUAAGCACUCCGCCUGGGGAGUACGGUCGCAAGACUGAAACUCAAAGGAAUUGACGGGGGCCCGCACAAGCGGUGGAGCAUGUGGUUUAAUUCGAAGCAACGCGAAGAACCUUACCAGGUCUUGACAUCCUCUGACAACUCUAGAGAUAGAGCGUUCCCCUUCGGGGGACAGAGUGACAGGUGGUGCAUGGUUGUCGUCAGCUCGUGUCGUGAGAUGUUGGGUUAAGUCCUGCAACGAGCGCAACCCUUGAUCUUAGUUGCCAGCAUUCAGUUGGGCACUCUAAGGUGACUGCCGGUGACAAACCGGAGGAAGGUGGGGAUGACGUCAAAUCAUCAUGCCCCUUAUGACCUGGGCUACACACGUGCUACAAUGGAUGGUACAAAGGGCUGCAAGACCGCGAGGUCAAGCCAAUCCCAUAAAACCAUUCUCAGUUCGGAUUGGU